GAAAGUAAGCAAGGGCAGACGGUGGAUGCCUUGGCUCUCGGAGGCGACGAAGGACGUGAUAAGCUGCGAAAAGCCCGGGGGAGGCGCAAAUAGCCCUUGAUCCCGGGAUAUCCGAAUGGGGCAACCCGGCAGGCUGAAGGCCUGUCAUCCCGUAAGGGAGGCGAACGUGGGGAACUGAAACAUCUAAGUACCCAUAGGAGGAGAAAAUAAACAAUGAUUCCGUAAGUAGUGGCGAGCGAACACGGAAGAGCCCAAACCCAUGUCGUCUAGGCGACACGGGGGUUGUAGGACCACGACGUGGCAAGAAGGAAGGGAAAUGGAACGACUUGGAAAAGUCGGCCAUAGACGGUGAAAGCCCGGUACAUGACUCCCUUACGAAGCCUAGUGGUAUCCUGAGUAGCGCGGGGCACGAGAAAUCUUGCGUGAAUUAGCGGGGCCCAUCCCGUAAGGCUAAAUACUCCCGAGAGACCGAUAGCGAACCAGUACCGUGAGGGAAAGGUGAAAAGAACCCCGAGCAGGGGAGUGAAAUAGACCCUGAACCCGUCUGCCUACAAGCGGUCGGAGCGUCGUAAUGACGUGACGGCGUGCCUUUUGCAUAAUGAACCUACGAGUUACCUUCCCCGGCAAGGUUAAGUUCUUGAGGAACGGAGCCGAAGCGAAAGCGAGUCUGAACAGGGCGCCAAGUCGGGGGGGGUAGACGCGAAACCGAGUGAUCUACCCUUGGCCAGGUUGAAGGUUGGGUAACACCAACUGGAGGACCGGAUGGGUAAGCGUUGAAAAGCUUUCCAAUGAGCUGAGGGUAGGGGUGAAAGGCUAAUCAAACUCGGAGAUAGCUCGUACUCCCCGAAAUGCAUUUAGGUGCAGCCUCUUUAUAGUAUAUCGUGAGGUAGAGCGACUGAUUGGAUGCGAGGGCUUCACCGCCUAUCAAGUCCAGAUAAACUCCGAAUGCGCGAUAUAUAUUUACAGGGAGUGAGGGCGCGGGUGCUAAGGUCCGUGUCCGAGAGGAGAAGAAUCCAGACCACCGGCUAAGGCCCCCAAAUGAUCGUUAAGUUGAACUAACGAGGUCGGAUCGCAGAGACAGCUAGGAUGUUGGCUUGGAAGCAGCCAUUCAUUUAAAGAGUGCGUAACAGCUCACUAGUCGAGCGAUCUGGCGUGGAUAAUAAUCGGGCAUAAACGAUCUGCCGAAGCCGUGGAUGUCGCAAGACAUGGUAGGGGAGCAUUCCAUGCCGCGUCGAAGAUGAGGGAUGACCCUUGUUGGAGCGCAUGGAAAAGCAAAUGUAGGUAUGAGUAACGAUAAGGGGGGCGAGAAACCCCCCCGCCGAAAGACCAAGGUUUCCUGAUCAACGCUAAUCGGAUCAGGGUGAGUCGGGACCUAAGGCAAAGCCGAACGGCGCCGCCGAUGGAAGAAUGGGUUAAUAUUCCCAUACUGCCUCAUGGAGUGACGUGGAGACGGAGAAGUGACAGUCCUGCCGGCUGACGGAAUAGCCGGUUGAAGGGUGUAGAUAUUGAUUCCCGUAGGCAAAUCCGCGGGGAGAGUCGAACCUGAGAGUAUACGGAGCGCUUGCGCAACGUAAUAUGGACGUAACCAUGCUCCCGAGAAAAUCCGCUAAACUUAUCCAUGCGGCACCCGUACCGUAAACGGACACACGUGGUCGGGUUGAGAAUACUGAGGCGCUCGAGUGAUUCACGGUUAAGGAACUAGGCAAAUUGACCCUGUAACUUCGGGAUAAAGGGUCCUCGUCGUAAGGCGAGGCGCAGAGAAUAGGUCCAGGCAACUGUUUAACAAAAACACAUGGCUGUGCGAAAUGGAAACAUGAGGUAUACAGCCUGACACCUGCCCGGUGCCGGAAGGUUAAGAGGAGAUGUCAUCCGCGAGGAGAAGCGUUGAAUUGAAGCCCCGGUAAACGGCGGCCGUAACUAUAACGGUCCUAAGGUAGCGAAAUUCCUUGUCGGGUAAGUUC
This 1961-nucleotide ribosomal RNA is filed under the name human gut metagenome. RNAcentral's name for it is "bacterial LSU rRNA". It matches the Rfam family "Bacterial large subunit ribosomal RNA", at positions 1 to 1983 of the family's 2925-position model. The record is from RNAcentral.